Molecule: ribosomal RNA, 460 nt
Filed under: uncultured bacterium
Lineage: Bacteria
Description: partial 16S ribosomal RNA
Rfam family: Bacterial small subunit ribosomal RNA
Source: RNAcentral
CCUACGGGGGGCAUCAGUGAGGAAUAUUGGUCAAUGGACGAGAGUCUGAACCAGCCAAGUAGCGUGAAGGAUGACGGCCCUAUGGGUUGUAAACUUCUUUUAUAUGGGAAUAAAAUGUUCCACGUGUGGGAUUUUGUAUGUACCAUAUGAAUAAGGACCGGCUAACUCCAUGCCAGCAGCCGCGGUAAUACGGAGGAUCCGAGCGUUAUCCGGAUUUAUUGGGUUUAAAGGGAGCGUAGGUGGAUUGUUAAGUCUGUUGUGAAAGUCCGCGGCUCAACCGUAAAAUUGCAGUUGAAACUGGCAGUCUUGAGUGCGGUAGAGGUGGGCGGAAUUCGUGGUGUAGCGGUGAAAUGCUUAGAUAUCACGAAGAACUCCGAUUGCGAAGGCAGCACACUGGACUGCAACUGACGCUGAGGCUCGAAAGUGUGGGUAUCGAACAGGAUUAGAUACCCCUGUAGUC